Molecule: ribosomal RNA, 478 nt
Filed under: uncultured bacterium
Lineage: Bacteria
Description: partial 16S ribosomal RNA
Rfam family: Bacterial small subunit ribosomal RNA
Source: RNAcentral
GAUGAACGCUGGCGGCGUGCCUAACACAUGCGGGUCGAACGGAGAUUACGGACGGAAGUUUUCGGAUGGAAGCCUGUAAUUCUUAGUGGCGGACGGGUGAGUAACGCGUGGGCAACCUGCCCUAUACAGGGGGAUAGCAGCUGGAAACGGCUGGUAAGACCGCAUAAGUCGGUUAAAUCGCAUGAUUUGAUCGGGAAAUGAGCAAUCAGGUAUAGGAUGGGCCCGCGUCCGAUUAGCCAGUUGGCAGGGUAAAAGCCUACCAAAGCGACGAUCGGUAGCCGGACUGAGAGGUCGGACGGCCACAUUGGGACUGAGACACGGCCCAAACUCCUACGGGAGGCAGCAGUGGGGGAUAUUGCACAAUGGAGGAAACUCUGAUGCAGCGACGCCGCGUGAGUGAAGAAGUAUUUCGGUAUGUAAAGCUCUAUCAGCAGGGAAGAUGAUGACGGUACCUGACUAAGAAGCCCCGGCUAACUAC